RNAcentral lists this ribosomal RNA (465 nucleotides) under uncultured Arsenophonus sp. Its description in RNAcentral is "bacterial SSU rRNA". It matches the Rfam family "Bacterial small subunit ribosomal RNA", at positions 338 to 795 of the family's 1533-position model. The record is from RNAcentral. Lineage: Bacteria; Pseudomonadati; Pseudomonadota; Gammaproteobacteria; Enterobacterales; Morganellaceae.
CCUACGGGGGGCUGCAGUGGGGAAUAUUGCACAAUGGGCGCAAGCCUGAUGCAGCCAUGCCGCGUGUAUGAAGAAGGCCUUCGGGUUGUAAAGUACUUUCAGUCGUGAGGAAGGUGUUAAGGUUAAUAAUCUUAGCAAUCGACGUUAGCGACAGAAGAAGCACCGGCUAACUCCGUGCCAGCAGCCGCGGUAAUACGGAGGGUGCGAGCGUCAAUCGGAAUUACUGGGCGUAAAGGGCACGCAGGCGGUUAAUUAAGAUGGAUGUGAAAUCCCCGGGAUUAACCUGGGAAUGGCAUUCAAGACUGGUUAGCUAGAGUCUUGUAGAGGGGGGUAAAAUUCAAUGUGUAGCGGUGAAAUGCGUAGAGAUGUGGAGGGAUACCGAUGGCGAAGGCGGCCCCCUGGACAAAGACUGACGCUCAUGUGCGACAGCGUGGGUAGCAAACAAGAUUAGAUACCCCUGUAGUC